GGAGGAGUGGCCGAGUGGUUGAAGGCGGACGCCUCGAAAGCGUCUAUACCGGAAACGGUAUCAGGGGUUCGAAUCCUCUCUCCUCCGCCA
RNAcentral lists this transfer RNA (90 nucleotides) under candidate division WOR-1 bacterium RIFOXYA12_FULL_36_13. Its description in RNAcentral is "tRNA-Ser". It matches the Rfam family "tRNA". From Rfam's summary of the family: Transfer RNA (tRNA) molecules are approximately 80 nucleotides in length. Their secondary structure includes four short double-helical elements and three loops (D, anti-codon, and T loops). RNAcentral also lists the same sequence under 3 other names. Lineage: Bacteria; Bacillati. The record is from RNAcentral.